This 266-nucleotide unclassified non-coding RNA is filed under the name Hevea brasiliensis (rubber tree). The record is from RNAcentral. Lineage: Eukaryota; Viridiplantae; Streptophyta; Magnoliopsida; Malpighiales; Euphorbiaceae.
UUCCGAUCAAAUUGUCCUCAUCGAAAUCACAGACUUCAUCUGCAUCAAAUUCCACAGGGUGGAAACUCUCAAGCUUCCAUUUUGCAUUUGUUCCCUUGGCUUGCUCCAGUUUUUCUUCAUCGUCUAUGUCAUGACUAUGCUUAUAGUUUAGGUAACUGACGAGCAAUAAGCCACCCAUUAGAACCGCUAAGGAAAGCAACACAAUGCAAGAUACCACUAGUUUGUUUAACUUAUGUUUAGCAGCCUUUCCACCACAACUGUCCAAG